CGGACGGGUGAGUAACGCGUGGGGAACCUGCCUGUACAGGGGGAUAACACUUAGGAAAUAGGUGCUAAUACCGCAUAAGCGCACAGUAUCGCAUGAUACAGUGUGAAAAACUCCGGUGGUACAGGAUGGACCCGCGUCUGAUUAGCUGGUUGGCGGGGUAAAGGCCACCAAGGCGACGAUCAGUAGCCGGCCUGAGAGGGUGGACGGCCACAUUGGGACUGAGACACGGCCCAAACUCCUACGGAAGGCAGCAG
This 254-nucleotide ribosomal RNA is filed under the name uncultured bacterium. RNAcentral's name for it is "partial 16S ribosomal RNA". It matches the Rfam family "Bacterial small subunit ribosomal RNA", at positions 99 to 354 of the family's 1533-position model. The record is from RNAcentral.